This is a non-coding RNA of Gossypium hirsutum (cotton), 46 nucleotides long. NCBI's taxonomy places the organism in Eukaryota, Viridiplantae, Streptophyta, Magnoliopsida, Malvales, Malvaceae. The record is from Rfam.
UCACUGGAGUUUUUAGACUCCACAAAUAAGGUUAGAGAAUUGAAAU